AAAAAGGCUAUGAAAAGGAAUAGUAACUGUCAGGAAUUCUCUCAGAAAGCCGCCGGUUGAUGCAAGACGGCAGAAGGAAUACAGUGAACUCGCCUUGAAGCUGCCGGCUGAACCCUAUAGUAGGUCGCGACGGACUCCCACCGUUACCCGGGAAUGGCAUGAUAGUGCCAAUGAGUGCAUGUAACAACAUGAAAUAGAGUGGUACCGCGAAAGUUUUCUUUCGUCUCUAUG
Molecule: non-coding RNA, 231 nt
Filed under: Roseburia sp.
Lineage: Bacteria; Bacillati; Bacillota; Clostridia; Lachnospirales; Lachnospiraceae
Description: T-box sequence
Rfam family: T-box leader
About the family: Uncharged tRNA acts as the effector for transcription antitermination of genes in the T-box leader family. T-boxes are found upstream of many aminoacyl-tRNA synthetase genes and some amino acid biosynthetic genes usually in Gram-positive bacteria. The anticodon of a specific tRNA base pairs to a specifier sequence within the T-box motif, and the NCCA acceptor tail of the tRNA base pairs to a conserved bulge in the T-box antiterminator hairpin.
Source: RNAcentral